UAACCUGCCCUUAAAGUCUGGGAUACCAUUUGGAAACAGAUGCUAAUACCGGAUAAAAGCUACUUUCGCAUGAAAGAAGUUUAAAAGGACGGCGUAAGCUGUCGCUAAAAGGGGAUGGACCUGCGAUGCAUUAGCUAGUGGUAAGGUAACGGCUUACCAAGGCGAUGAUGCAUAGCCCGAGUUGAGAGACUGAUCGGCCACAUUGGGACUGAGACACGGCCCAAACUCCUACGGGAGGCAGCAGUAGGGAAUCUUCCACAAUGGACGCAAGUCUGAUGGAGCAACGCCGCGUGAGUGAAGAAGGUUUUCGGAUCGUAAAGCUCUGUUGUUGGUGAAGAAGGAUAGAGGUAGUAACUGGCCUUUAUUUGACGGUAAUCAACCAGAAAGUCACGGCUAAUUACGUGCCAGCAGCCGCGGUAAU
This 421-nucleotide ribosomal RNA is filed under the name uncultured Lactobacillus sp. RNAcentral describes it as "bacterial SSU rRNA". It matches the Rfam family "Bacterial small subunit ribosomal RNA", at positions 122 to 524 of the family's 1533-position model. Lineage: Bacteria; Bacillati; Bacillota; Bacilli; Lactobacillales; Lactobacillaceae. The record is from RNAcentral.